UGCAGCUGCAGGUGGAGGCAACUCUAACAUAUAUAAGUCUGAUGGGUCACAGACAGUGAAGACUGAGGAACAUUUAAAGAUUCUCAUUCAUCUGUAUCUCCAACAACAAAACGUCUGACAUCAGAGAGGAGAGAGAUGAAGAGCGUAAACCCAGUGAAGAUGUUGGCCAUGUUGGCGCUGGUUCUGCUGGUGUCCAGUGUGAUUGAGGGACGUAUUUUCAGGAAAUGUGAGCUGAAGGCAAAGCUGGAGGCAGCUCGGUUUCAUGAGAUUAAGGUCAUGGGAGAAAACAUGGACACGAAAGAUCUUGUAGCUAGACUUGUCUGCAAGGCCAAAGACUCAGAAUUCAACACCAACUGUAUUAAAACCAUGACUGAGGACAAGCCUGAUGACACCCCACUACAGCCAUCUAUCUUUACCUUAAAGCCUACAUUAAGUCC
Molecule: long non-coding RNA, 437 nt
Organism: Rhinichthys klamathensis goyatoka
Lineage: Eukaryota; Metazoa; Chordata; Actinopteri; Cypriniformes; Leuciscidae
Exons: 3
Source: RefSeq, a predicted model, not a curated record